AACGAACGCUGGCGGCGCGCCUAAUACAUGCAAGUCGAGCGAGAAGACGUAGCAAUACGUUUGUAAAGCGGCGAACGGGUGAGGAAUACGUGGGUAACCUACCCUCGAGUGGGGAAUAACUAGCCGAAAGGUUAGCUAAUACCGCGUACGCUCCUUGGACUUCGGUUCAGGGAGGAAAGCGAUACCGUGGGUAUCGCGCUCUUGGAUGGGCUCAUGUCCUAUCAGCUUGUUGGUGAGGUAACGGCUCACCAAGGCUUCGACGGGUAGCUGGUCUGAGAGGACGAUCAGCCACACUGGCACUGCGACACGGGCCAGACUCCUACGGGAGGCAGCAGUAAGGAAUAUUGCGCAAUGGGCGAAAGCCUGACGCAGCGACGCCGCGUGGGGGAUGAAGGU
This 396-nucleotide ribosomal RNA is filed under the name uncultured bacterium. RNAcentral describes it as "bacterial SSU rRNA". It matches the Rfam family "Bacterial small subunit ribosomal RNA", at positions 29 to 415 of the family's 1533-position model. The record is from RNAcentral.